This 445-nucleotide ribosomal RNA is filed under the name uncultured bacterium. RNAcentral's name for it is "partial 16S ribosomal RNA". The record is from RNAcentral.
GACUACCGGGGUAUCUAAUCCCAUUCGCUACCCACGCUUUCGUGCUUCAGUGUCAGAUGUGUGCCAGUGUACUGCCUUCGCAUUUGGUGUUCCCUAUGAUAUCAACGGAUUUCACCCCUACACCAUAAGUUCCGUACACCUCUCACACUCUCUUAGUUGUGCCGUUUCAAGUGCUGGUCCAAAGUUAAGCUCUGGGAUUUAACACUUGACUAACACUACCACCUACGCACCCUUUACGCCCAGUGAUUCCGGAUAACGCUUGGGGCUCUCGUAUUACCGCUCCUGCUGGCACGAGAUUGGGAGCCCCUUAUUCCUGAGGUACCGUCAAUAAACUUCUUCCCUCAUAAAAGACCUUUACGUCCCGAAGGACUUCAUCAGUCACGCGGCGUCGCUCCAUCAGACUUUCGUCCAUUGUGGAAGAUUCUCGACUGCAGCCCCCCGUAGG